This 482-nucleotide ribosomal RNA is filed under the name uncultured Thiorhodospira sp. Its description in RNAcentral is "bacterial SSU rRNA". It matches the Rfam family "Bacterial small subunit ribosomal RNA", at positions 8 to 489 of the family's 1533-position model. The record is from RNAcentral. Lineage: Bacteria; Pseudomonadati; Pseudomonadota; Gammaproteobacteria; Chromatiales; Ectothiorhodospiraceae.
AGAGUUUGAUCAUGGCUCAGAUUGAACGCUGGCGGCAGGCCUAACACAUGCAAGUCGCACGCGAAAGUUCUUCGGAAUGAGUAGAGUGGCGGACGGGUGAGUAACGCGUAGGAAUCUGUCCAGUAGUGGGGGAUAACCCGGGGAAACUCGGGCUAAUACCGCAUACGCCCCAAGGGGGAAAGCGGGGGAUCUUCGGACCUCGUGCUAUUGGAGGAGCCUGCGUCGGAUUAGCUAGUUGGUAGGGUAAAGGCCUACCAAGGCGACGAUCCGUAGCUGGUCUGAGAGGAUGAUCAGCCACACCGGAACUGAGACACGGUCCGGACUCCUACGGGAGGCAGCAGUGGGGAAUAUUGCGCAAUGGGCGAAAGCCUGACGCAGCCAUGCCGCGUGUGUGAAGAAGGCCUUCGGGUUGUAAAGCACUUUCAGUGGGGAGGAAAGGGCGCUGGCUAAUAUCCAGCGCAGUGACGCUACCCACAGAAGAG